GACGAACGCUGGCGGCGUGCUUAACACAUGCAAGUCGAACGGGCCUGUCUUCUUUUUUGGGGGUGGGUUGAGUGGCGAACGGGUGAGUAUCACGUGAGUAACCUGCCCUUCGGUCCUGGAUAACCGCUUGAAAGGGCGGCUAAUACGGGGUGGUCCGGUUGGUCCGCAUGGGCUGGUCGGGAUAGAUUCACUGUUUUUGGUGUUUCGGCGGGGGAUGGGCUCGCGGCCUAUCAGCUUGUUGGUGGGGUGAUGGCCUACCAAGGCGGUGACGGGUAGCCGGCCUGGGAGGGUGGGCGGCCACACUGGGACUGAGAUACGGCCCAGACUCCUGCGGGAGGCAGCAGUGGGGGGUAUUGCACAAUGGGCGGAAGCCUGAUGCAGCGACGUCGCGUGAGGGAUGGAGGCCUUCGGGUUGUGAACCUCUGUUUUCGGUGGUGAAGGCCCUGUCCGUGUGGUGGGGUUGACGGUAGCCGGGGAUGAAGCGCCGGCUAACUACGUG
RNAcentral lists this ribosomal RNA (499 nucleotides) under uncultured bacterium. Its description in RNAcentral is "partial 16S ribosomal RNA". It matches the Rfam family "Bacterial small subunit ribosomal RNA", at positions 28 to 507 of the family's 1533-position model. The record is from RNAcentral.